UACGAGUGCUCCAAGCGUUAUCCGGAAUUAUUGGGCGUAAAGGGUGUGUAGGCGGUUUUAUUAGUCUCCUGUUAAAUUCUUCGGCUCAACCGGGGGUCUGCAGGGGAAACGGUAAAUCUAGAGGGUGCGAGAGGUGAAUGGAACUCAUGGUGUAGGGGUGAAAUCCGUUGAUAUCAUGGGGAACACCAAAUGCGAAGGCAAUUCACUGGCGCAUUCCUGACGCUGAAACACGAAAGCGUGGGUAGCGAAC
RNAcentral lists this ribosomal RNA (250 nucleotides) under uncultured bacterium. RNAcentral describes it as "partial 16S ribosomal RNA". It matches the Rfam family "Bacterial small subunit ribosomal RNA", at positions 524 to 773 of the family's 1533-position model. The record is from RNAcentral.